GGAGAGAUGGCCGAGUGGACGAAGGCGCGUGACUCGAAAUCACGUGUUGCCGCAAGGCAACCGGGGGUUCAAAUCCCUCUCUCUCCG
This 87-nucleotide transfer RNA is filed under the name Caldifarciminota bacterium. RNAcentral's name for it is "tRNA-Ser". It matches the Rfam family "tRNA". From Rfam's summary of the family: Transfer RNA (tRNA) molecules are approximately 80 nucleotides in length. Lineage: Bacteria; Pseudomonadati; Caldifarciminota. The record is from RNAcentral.